Podarcis lilfordi (Lilford's wall lizard) is the source of this 73-nucleotide non-coding RNA. NCBI's taxonomy places the organism in Eukaryota, Metazoa, Chordata, Lepidosauria, Squamata, Lacertidae. The record is from the annotation of a GenBank genome assembly.
GUUAGAUAGCUCAGUUGGUUAAGGCAUGGUGCUGAUAACGUCAAGGUUGCAGGUUUGACCCCCAUAAGGGACA